This 559-nucleotide ribosomal RNA is filed under the name uncultured bacterium. RNAcentral's name for it is "partial 16S ribosomal RNA". It matches the Rfam family "Bacterial small subunit ribosomal RNA", at positions 355 to 928 of the family's 1533-position model. The record is from RNAcentral.
UGGGGAAUAUGGACAAUGGGCGCAAGCCUGAUCCAGCCAUGCCGCGUGAGUGAUGAAGGGCCUUAGGGUUGUAAAGCUCUUUCGCCGGUGAAGAUAAUGACGGUAACCGGAGAAGAAGCCCCGGCUAACUUCGUGCCAGCAGCCGCGGUAAUACGAAGGGGGCUAGCGUUGCUCGGAAUCACUGGGCGUAAAGCGCACGUAGGCGGAUCGUUAAGUCAGGGGUGAAAUCCUGGAGCUCAACUCCAGAACUGCCCUUGAUACUGGCGAUCUCGAGUUCGAGAGAGGUUGGUGGAACUCCGAGUGUAGAGGUGAAAUUCGUAGAUAUUCGGAAGAACACCAGUGGCGAAGGCGGCCAACUGGCUCGAUACUGACGCUGAGGUGCGAAAGCGUGGGGAGCAAAACAGGAUUAGAUACCCUGGUAGUCCACGCCGUAAAACGAUGGAUGCUAGCCGUUGGGGGGUUUACCUCUCAGUGGCGCAGCUAACGCCUUAAGCAUCCCGCCUGGGGAGUACGGUCGCAAGAUUAAAAACUCAAAAUGAAUUGACGGGGGUCAUAGCUG